GGGUUCUACCGGUGGUCGGGCAAUAGUCUGUACUGGCGUGUAGAAUUUCUACCUUCUGGGGAACUAUCAUGUUAUUUAUUUAGCGUGGUAGGAAACCAGGACCUUUACCUUGAAAAAAUUAGAGUGUUCAAAGCAGGCUUACGUCUGAAUACAUUAGCAUGGAAUAAUAGAAUAGGACUU
This 180-nucleotide ribosomal RNA is filed under the name uncultured Glomeromycotina. RNAcentral's name for it is "partial small subunit ribosomal RNA". The stretch from base 39 to 180 matches the Rfam family "Eukaryotic small subunit ribosomal RNA", at positions 686 to 830 of the family's 1831-position model. Lineage: Eukaryota; Fungi; Glomeromycota. The record is from RNAcentral.